This 212-nucleotide long non-coding RNA is filed under the name Elaeis guineensis (African oil palm). Its description in RNAcentral is "long non-coding RNA (EGUI_LNC022342)". Lineage: Eukaryota; Viridiplantae; Streptophyta; Magnoliopsida; Arecales; Arecaceae. The record is from RNAcentral.
CUCUAUGGAAUCCAAAUCAAAUGAUUGCGGAUCCUCAUAGGAAUCUGUAUCGAAUUAAAGAAGGCUGCAAAGGUGGAGAAGGAUCUAGGAUUUAGGAGCGGCACUAUAGAAGCCGUGAGCAACAAAAACACAUGCAGAAGGGGUAUGAUAGAAGAGGCAGAGCUUGAUCACAAAGACAAUGGAACCAAUGAUAAGAAGAAUAAGACAGGGGC